Molecule: ribosomal RNA, 176 nt
Filed under: uncultured bacterium
Lineage: Bacteria
Description: partial 16S ribosomal RNA
Rfam family: Bacterial small subunit ribosomal RNA
Source: RNAcentral
GCUGGAAUCGCUAGUAAUCGCAGAUCAGAAUGCUGCGGUGAAUACGUUCCCGGGUCUUGUACACACCGCCCGUCACACCAUGGGAGUUGGGAAUGCCCGAAGUCAGUGACCCAACCGUAAGGAGGGAGCUGCCGAAGGCAGAUUCGAUAACUGGGGUGAAGUCGUAACAAGGUAGC